This 254-nucleotide ribosomal RNA is filed under the name uncultured bacterium. RNAcentral's name for it is "partial 16S ribosomal RNA". It matches the Rfam family "Bacterial small subunit ribosomal RNA", at positions 524 to 776 of the family's 1533-position model. The record is from RNAcentral.
UACGGAGGGGACUAGCGUUGUUCGGAAUUACUGGGCGUAAAGCGCACGUAGGCGGAUUUGUAAGUCAGGGGUGAAAUCCCGGGGCUCAACCCGGAGACGCCACCCGAUACUGUCGUGACUGGAGUCCGGUAGGGGAGUGGGGAAUUCCUGGUGUAGCGGUGAAAUGCGCAGAUAUCAGGAGGAACACCGGUGGCGAAGGCGCCACUCUGGGCCGGUACUGACGCUGAGGAGCGAAAGCGUGGGUAGCAAACAGG